UAGAUAAAGAACUGAGGCCUCACCAGCAGAAGAAAGUUACUUGAGCAGAAGAAUCACAUGAUUUUUUAAACCGAUUAUGACAAAUCCAGACGAAUAUAAUAACACUACAUUUCCCGUGGCACAGCGCGGUUUUGUGACCUUGACCGACUUCUCUGUUCUCCAAUGAAAACGGCCCGCUGCCCUUUCUGGCCAAUCGCUCAUAUGGGAGGCGGGGCGGUUGGUGGUUGCUAAGGAGGGGUGAAAACCGGAAGAUGUCGCGCGUCCCUGGAAGCCGCUGCCAAAUUCCGUUGAUGUAGUAAGACAGCUCGCUGUCCGGUUGACAUUUAUUACCGUAAGAUGAAGAACGCAAACAUAACUGGAGGAGACCUCUGGACUGCGUGACCCCUUGGAGAAAAGACAAACAGGCGUUUGACAGAGCCACCAUGAGCGCUGCGACCCUCCGGAUUGGGGACCAGCUCAUCCUGGAGGAGGACUACGAUGAGAACUACAUCCCCACUGAGCAAGAGAUCCAGGAGUACGCACGAGAGAUCGGGAUAGACCCAGAGAAGGAGCCUGAGCUGAUGUGGCUGGCCAGAGAGGGCAUUGUGGCCCCACUGCCUGCAGAGUGGAAACCCUGGU
Lepisosteus oculatus (spotted gar) is the source of this 618-nucleotide non-coding RNA. The record is from RefSeq and is a predicted model, not a curated record. Lineage: Eukaryota; Metazoa; Chordata; Actinopteri; Semionotiformes; Lepisosteidae.